This 164-nucleotide ribosomal RNA is filed under the name Gynoxys hallii. It matches the Rfam family "5.8S ribosomal RNA". Rfam says of the family: 5.8S ribosomal RNA (5.8S rRNA) is a component of the large subunit of the eukaryotic ribosome. Lineage: Eukaryota; Viridiplantae; Streptophyta; Magnoliopsida; Asterales; Asteraceae. The record is from RNAcentral.
CAAACGACUCUCGGCAACGGAUAUCUUGGCUCACGCAUCGAUGAAGAACGUAGCAAAAUGCGAUACUUGGUGUGAAUUGCAGAAUCCCGUGAACCAUCGAGUUUUUGAACGCAAGUUGCGCCCAAAGCCUUUCGGUCGAGGGCACGUCUGCCUGGGCGUCACAC